AUUGAACGCUGGCGGAAUGCUUUACACAUGCAAGUCGAACGGCAGCACGGACUUCGGUCUGGUGGCGAGUGGCGAACGGGUGAGUAAUACAUCGGAACGUGCCCAGUCGUGGGGGAUAACGUAGCGAAAGCUACGCUAAUACCGCAUACGAUCUAAGGAUGAAAGCGGGGGGUCGCAAGACCUCGCGCGAUUGGAGCGGCCGAUGGCAGAUUAGGUAGUUGGUAGGGUAAAGGCCUACCAAGCCGACGAUCGGUAGCUGGUCUGAGAGGACGACGAGCCACACUGGGACUGAGACACGGCCCAGACUCCUACGGGAGGCAGCAGUGGGGAAUUUGGGACAAUGGACGCAAGUCUGAUCCAGCCAUUCCGGUUGCAGGAUGAAGGCCCUGGGGUUGUAACCUGUUUUUGUACAGAAAGAAAAGGCUCUGGUUAAUACCUGGAGCUCAUGACGGUACUGUAAGAAUAAGCACCGGCUAACUACGUGCCAGCCGCCGCCGUAA
This 500-nucleotide ribosomal RNA is filed under the name uncultured bacterium. RNAcentral's name for it is "partial 16S ribosomal RNA". It matches the Rfam family "Bacterial small subunit ribosomal RNA", at positions 30 to 523 of the family's 1533-position model. The record is from RNAcentral.